Molecule: ribosomal RNA, 465 nt
Filed under: uncultured bacterium
Lineage: Bacteria
Description: partial 16S ribosomal RNA
Rfam family: Bacterial small subunit ribosomal RNA
Source: RNAcentral
CCUACGGGAGGCAGCAGUAGGGAAUCUUCCACAAUGGGCGAAAGCCUGAUGGAGCAACGCCGCGUGGGUGAAGAAGGUCUUCGGAUCGUAAAACCCUGUUGUUAGAGAAGAAAGUGCGUGAGAGUAACUGUUCACGUUUCGACGGUAUCUAACCAGACAGCCCCGGCUAACUACGUGCCAGCAGCCGCGGUAAUACGUAGGUGGCAAGCGUUAUCCGGAUUUAUUGGGCGUAAAGGGAACGCAGGCGGUCUUUUAAGUCUGAUGUGAAAGCCUUCGGCUUAACCGGAGUAGUGCAUUGGAAACUGGGAGACUUGAGUGCAGAAGAGGAGAGUGGAACUCCAUGUGUAGCGAUGAAAUGCGUAGAUAUAGGGAAGAACACCAGUGGCGAAAGCGGCUCUCUGGGCUGUAACUGACGCUGAGGUGCGAAAGCGUGGGUAGCAAACAGGAUUAGAUACCCGAGUAGUC